This 478-nucleotide ribosomal RNA is filed under the name uncultured bacterium. RNAcentral's name for it is "partial 16S ribosomal RNA". It matches the Rfam family "Bacterial small subunit ribosomal RNA", at positions 28 to 507 of the family's 1533-position model. The record is from RNAcentral.
GAUGAACGCUGGCGGCGUGCUUAACACAUGCAAGUCGAACGGGAAACCUUUUAUUGAAGCUUCGGCAGAUUUAGCUGGUUUCUAGUGGCGGACGGGUGAGUAACGCCUGGGUAACCUGCCCUAUACAGGGGGAUAACAACCAGAAAUGGUUGCUAAUACCGCAUAAGCGCACAGGGCCGCAUGGUCCGGUGUGAAAAACUCCGGUGGUAUAGGAUGGACCCGCGUUGGAUUAGCCAGUUGGCAGGGUAACGGCCUACCAAAGCGACGAUCCAUAGCCGGCAUGAGAGGGAGAACGGACACAUUUGGACUGAGACACGGCAGAGACUCCUACGGGAGGCAGGAGUGGGGAAUAGAGCACAAUGGGGGAAACCAUGAAGCAGCGACGCCGCGUGAAGGAAGAAGUAAGUCGGGAAGUAAAGUGCUAGCAGCAGGGAAGAUAGUGACGGUACCUGACUAGGAAGCCACGGCUAACUACGUG